Molecule: ribosomal RNA, 901 nt
Filed under: Staphylococcus aureus
Lineage: Bacteria; Bacillati; Bacillota; Bacilli; Caryophanales; Staphylococcaceae
Description: partial 23S ribosomal RNA
Rfam family: Bacterial large subunit ribosomal RNA
Source: RNAcentral
UAGUCGAAAAUGUUGUCUCUCUUGAGUGGAUCCUGAGUACGACGGAGCACGUGAAAUUCCGUCGGAAUCUGGGAGGACCAUCUCCUAAGGCUAAAUACUCUCUAGUGACCGAUAGUGAACCAGUACCGUGAGGGAAAGGUGAAAAGCACCCCGGAAGGGGAGUGAAAUAGAACCUGAAACCGUGUGCUUACAAGUAGUCAGAGCCCGUUAAUGGGUGAUGGCGUGCCUUUUGUAGAAUGAACCGGCGAGUUACGAUUUGAUGCAAGGUUAAGCAGUAAAUGUGGAGCCGUAGCGAAAGCGAGUCUGAAUAGGGCGUUUAGUAUUUGGUCGUAGACCCGAAACCAGGUGAUCUACCCUUGGUCAGGUUGAAGUUCAGGUAACACUGAAUGGAGGACCGAACCGACUUACGUUGAAAAGUGAGCGGAUGAACUGAGGGUAGCGGAGAAAUUCCAAUCGAACCUGGAGAUAGCUGGUUCUCUCCGAAAUAGCUUUAGGGCUAGCCUCAAGUGAUGAUUAUUGGAGGUAGAGCACUGUUUGGACGAGGGGCCCCUCUCGGGUUACCGAAUUCAGACAAACUCCGAAUGCCAAUUAAUUUAACUUGGGAGUCAGAACAUGGGUGAUAAGGUCCGUGUUCGAAAGGGAAACAGCCCAGACCACCAGCUAAGGUCCCAAAAUAUAUGUUAAGUGGAAAAGGAUGUGGCGUUGCCCAGACAACUAGGAUGUUGGCUUAGAAGCAGCCAUCAUUUAAAGAGUGCGUAAUAGCUCACUAGUCGAGUGACACUGCGCCGAAAAUGUACCGGGGCUAAACAUAUUACCGAAGCUGUGGAUUGUCCUUUGGACAAUGGUAGGAGAGCGUUCUAAGGGCGUUGAAGCAUGAUCGUAAGGACAUGUGGAGCGCUUA